AAUUAAGUUGACCAUGCAUUUCUGAAAUCAUCAACUUAAUUAAUUGUUACCUUUCACUAGAUUUUUGAAUUCUUUGGAGAAGUUAUCAACAUGGCCAAAAACUGGAUGGAUCCUGCAAACCUGAACUAUGCAUAGCAGCAGUAGGCACAGCUUCUUGACUUCAUCAGGAACCUCUCUGUAAUUAUCUCAAAGCUCAGCGACAAUCGCUGUGGCUUGGUCAUGCAUGUAAAGAAAAAAAUACAAAUUGUAGUACCAGUCGCAGAGAAGGGCAGAAACAAAAAGAAAAACACACUGUUAGUAUUCUCUUAGUUAUCCUACCUGUUAGACCAAGCAAAAUCUUUGGCUCUGGAAGCCAGUGAAAUGAGCUAGAUCUACAUAUUCCACUUCUUCUGCCCUUUUAACAACAUCCUCAGCUUGUAAACACAGAAAAUUCAACAACAGAGAAGCCACUCUAUAAAUUUGCAACGCAGCCGAAUCUGUAAAGUGUGAUUGAGGAACAGAUCCAUGUUGCUUCGUCGUGUAUCCUCAAUUAGUGUCUCCUC
This 542-nucleotide long non-coding RNA is filed under the name Brassica napus (rape). RNAcentral's name for it is "long non-coding RNA (BNAP_LNC014296)". The record is from RNAcentral. Lineage: Eukaryota; Viridiplantae; Streptophyta; Magnoliopsida; Brassicales; Brassicaceae.